ACACUUACUUGGCGGGGGAGUGCCACGAUCAGAAAGGUGCUUUUCCCAGGGUAAGGCCCUUCCAUUGCUGUUCGGUUGAUCUCUGUGAUUUCCCCCAAUGUGGGAAACUGAACUGCAUAAUUUAUGGUAGCGGGGGAUUAUGUUUGCACUGUCUCAGG
Protopterus annectens (West African lungfish) is the source of this 158-nucleotide small nuclear RNA. RefSeq annotates it as U1 spliceosomal RNA. Lineage: Eukaryota; Metazoa; Chordata; Ceratodontiformes; Protopteridae. The transcript has a single exon. The record is from RefSeq and is a predicted model, not a curated record.